This 18131-nucleotide long non-coding RNA is filed under the name Solanum lycopersicum (tomato). Its description in RNAcentral is "long non-coding RNA (SLYC_LNC000215)". The record is from RNAcentral. Lineage: Eukaryota; Viridiplantae; Streptophyta; Magnoliopsida; Solanales; Solanaceae.
CUCAACAACCAGUACCUAUAUUUAUAUUUAAAAAAUAUAGAAAAUAUGGGUUAGUACAAAAAUGCACUAAGUAUGGUAGUGAUGCAUAAAAUCAUUGAAAACAUGCUAAAGGGGUACAUUUAACUUAAAACCAUGUUUAUCAAGUUUAAGAGUCACCAUGCACAUUAGUGUAGAAACAUAAGUCAAACCAUCUCAUAACAACCCUAAGCUAUACAUGUUCAAUGUUUAGAUAAGGUCCCAUAAUCCAAUCUAAUACUAAGUACGUCUUUGGAUCACCAAAGUCAUACUUGCCAUAAUUUUACCUCAUCAAUAGUCAAUAUUCAAAACAAGGGAACAUUCAUGUUCAUUAACUAAUAUCAAGAAAGUUACUUAUAGAAAAAAUCCAUAUAAAUCAUGAAUAAAUCAUAAGUCUUCAUAGCAUAAGGGAACCACACCAAAACCCCUCUCAAGGUCUACUUGUGUCAUAUAUGAAGUCGUAUACCCACUCUCACACUAUGUAUAUCCUUUUUGAGAAGUCAUAAAUGAUAGUCCAGAAUCAUUUUCUUAUCAUAGUUCAUAUUUUUGUCAUGUAAAUAAAAUAGCCUUAACCGACAUAGACCAUGUGAUCUACAUAGAAUCCGGUGUCAUGUCCCACAUUGAAAGAGAGGUCCUACUUUCCUAAGGUAGACUUAAAUGUAUUAUACUUUAGGUGGAUACAUCAACUAAAUACCUAUGUGGGCACAUAACUAUGGGAUGGAGAUAUUGUUCGUGGAAGUCCGGCCUUUUGAAUUGACGAUAUGAGCUUCCAUUCCAUGAGGUUAACUUUAAAAACUCAGCCUAUUCAAUUUAUAGGGGGGAUCUACCUCAUAUUUCAUAUCCACUCGGUGCUAAGCAUUACUUCCAAAAAAUUUACUUGUUUAGUCUUGAAUUAAGUUAUCAUGUUAUCAUGCCUCAAAGAUUUCCAACAUAAUUCAUAAAGUAGCUCAUAGAUUCAAUCGGUGAGAAUGGACUUUCAACCGUAGAAUCAUCAUUAAAAUGUGAGUAAACAUUCCACAUCAUGUGCAUAGUGUGUUCACGAGAAUAGUCUUUCAAUCAACAUAACAAUAUCAUAAUAGUCACGAAUACUUCAUGCAAAAUCAUGUGUAACAAUAUAGUGUAAGACCCCAAAAUGAGAUAGGGUGUUUAGAUACUAACAUGUUUUUAUUAAAUUUGUAGUCCUAAAUAUGUUUAAAAUAUAGUAUAUGGGUAGUAGCUAAAAUAUUAGAGGUAUUGGAAGUCGAACGUUAAGGGACGACUAAGACGUUCGACGACUAAGUCACCUAGAUACCUAAAUGUGGUUCUAUGUGUUUAUGGGUGUUUCAUGAUUUUCUAAGGUCCUAAAAUGUCUUAUUAUAUGGAUUAGAGACAGUGUACAAAUUUUGAAGUGAUUUUGAAGUCAAACGUCAAGGGACGACCAAUACGUUCGACGAAUAGUCGCUUAUAUGCCUCAUGUGUCUAUGCAUGCCUAAAUCUGUAUGAAAUUAGACUAAUAAGUAAUUUAAUGGUUUGAAAUGAUGUUUAAUGUUGUUAUAUGAAUUUUCGUGAAGCUUAGAUGUUGAACGCACAAGAACGUCCAAGGCGUUCGAAAGAUAGCCCCUAAGACGUUCAUCUAUGUCAUGUUGGGGCCAAGUCUGUUUGGACGUCUUAUAGGUGUUUGUUUUGGAUGAAAUUUAUGUGGAAGGUCUAUAACUUGUUAAGGUUUGUAAUCAUGUUGGAAACUUCCGGGAACAACUUCUAAAGGGCUCCUCAAGAGGCCCCAAAAGAAGGACCCAAAGCAUCCUAAGACACUACCUUGGCAGUGUCCAAUGAAGUACCCCACGACGGAUGCCUGUGACGGUCCGUCGUGGCUGUGACGCCCCAUCACUGCCUUCAUCACUGAUGGUCUGCAAGUGGUAGUCUGCGUCUCUUUCAUUAAAGGGGUCAAUGGGAAAUUCACCCCACGUCUUAACCUGAUUAUUAAGGGGUUAUUUAAGUGAUUUUGGGUGUAUAUAAGUCAUCAAAAACGUGAUCACCCCGUUCUAGAAUCCUCUCACAAGAUUGAAACCUUUCCCUCCAAAAAUGUUCUCGCUAAAACCACCAUUGUUGGUGAAUCUCAAGAACAGAUUCAAGCUGGGUUUUCCACGGAUGAAUCAUCAAGUUUAAGAGGUUUUCAACUAAUCAAAGGCAUGUUGAUCUUCAUCUCUAGUUAUCUUUUCAUCUAGAGAGAUUCUCAAUAUUUUUCAAAGAAAUCUUAUAAUCAAGUUUCCAGUCUUCCAAUCUAGCCAUGGGUUUUUUCUCAAAACGUUUUUAAUGAUUAAAUCAUGAUGAAUUGAAGUUAAUAUAAUGAUUUUAACGUGAUUUCACUCCAAUUUCAUGAUGAACCCAUGUUCCUUCCAAAAUUGGUUUAGCUCUUGUGGGCUUUGUGAUCAUGGCUUGUUCUUGAUUAACUGGUGAUUCUCUUACAUUGAAUUGCUUGUGUUUAUUGUAAUUUAUGUUAAUUGAUGGUGAAUUUAUGAUGGUCAGUCCAUCAUGAAAAAUAUAUGAAGAUUUGAACAUGAAUAGCCUAUGUUUUUACAUGUUAUAUUGAAAUCGAUUGUGAGAUCGUUUGUGUAAGGUUGUUAUUUUGUAUGAACUUCUGUAGAUAUUGUUUUAGAGUGAUAUAAUGGAUGAAUUUUGUAGGUAUAAGUCUGUAAUGAACAAUCUAAUAAAGUCUUGCAUGAAUUGAUUUAUAUUCCUUUAGGCUAUGAAGUCAAAUAGCUAAGUGAAUGAUGGAUUUCAAAUUGUGCUUAGAUGAAGCAUGAUUUUGUCUUGAUUCUUAUCUAAUUAGUUACUGACUAAUGAGUGUAUUGUUGUUAAAAUAUUAAUGAUUAUCAAAGCCUUAGAGAGUUCAUGGUAUUGGUAAAGUCUUCUAUACUCUAGCAAAUAGAUAAGCCUACAUGCCUAUGUUGUAACCUUAAUCUUGAGGGUAUGUAAUAAUGAUUUCAAAAUGGUUAAAUAUAGGUUUAGCUACUGCCUGAUAAUCAUAAUAUGUAUGAAAUAUGAUCAAAAUCAAUUAAAUUGAAAUUAGAUAAUGACCUAUGUUAUUCUACUUUCCCAGUAUGUUGAUAUGUUGUAUUAUGAUAUAGUACAAUCUUGUAGCGACUUGUACAUGAUUUCUUAUGUUUUUAAAGUACAUUUAGCUACUGACAUAUAUGUGAAUUAUCGAUGCAUAGGGUGUAUUGAUCAAUGAUGAUAAAAAGACGAGAAAUUGGUAAGAAUGCUUAUUCCCUUUACUCUUCUACUUCUCUAUUUCUGUAUAGUAAUGUUGAUGAAGCCUUGUAUGGCAUUGUAUGGUAUGGUCCACUUAUGGUGGCAGUGAAUAUCUUAUUGUCAUUAGAUAUAUGUUUACCAUGGCCUUGAAGUCAAAUUGAUGAAUAUAUGAUUUAGAGAUUUAGAUGAUCGCCUUAUGAUGUAAUUGUGUCUAUCUUCCUAUCUAGUUGUGAUCUAGGUUGUGUGGCUAUUGUAUGAUCAUGUGUAUAUUCAUGUUAGAGUAUUGUAUAGGUGCUUCCAUUGAUGUGUUAAAAUAUUUAGUGGCCCCUACCCAUGUAGCCCUUAUAUGAAAGUGUAAAUAGCUAAAGUUAGAGCUUUGGUUAUAAUGUUUAAAUUGACUUGCCUCCUAUGCUAAUAUGUGUUGUGUCGUAUGUUCUUGGAAGUAUAAUGUGGUCUAAUAGGGUCUCUGCCUCAAGGAGUAAUUAAUAGACAUUAUGUGAUCAUGUUAACCAAUGUACACACACACUUACAUGCAUGUUACAAGUAGUAUAGGUUAAGGUGUCUAAAUGAAAGGUUGUUCUCAUAUUCACUAAUGUCUACUACUAUGCAUGUAAAGUAUAUGUAUGUGAAGUAUGUUAUGUAUUCCUUGCUAGGAUGACAUGAUAGGUGUACUAGUAUGGGCAAGGGUAUGGUACCUUGUCUAUACAUUGCACAUGUGUAUCUUGAUAGGAUAGAUCCUAUGUUUGGUUUCUAUUUAUAUGAAAGAUGACAUUAUGAAUAUGUUAUGAAUAUGACUUAUAUUCUAUGAUGUUUAAGUAUAUGAUAUGAUGAAGUGUUAACGUGCAUAGUGUCUUGGAGUGUUGAUAUGAAAGGAUUGCUCAUAUAGGUACACAUAUAGACUUAUGCAUUGAUAUAUGAACUUGUAUGACUUAAUGUGUUAUGUGAAAGGUUUGCUCACAUAUAUGUAUACACACACACAUGUUUGAAGAUCUAGUCAAGAGAAGGGAUUUGAAUGGUGUAUCCAUGUGUUCCUUAAACUAGAUGAUGCUUUACAUAUGUUAUGUUCAUGUGAAUGGAUUCUUUACAUGAUGUAGGUUGAUGAACCUCCAUAUAUGACCUAUGAGUUAAGAAUAUAAGGUAAUGACUCUCUUAAACCUAUGAUUUAUAAAGCAAAAAUAUAAUAAAGUUUUUCAAUAAAAGACAACUUAGCUUAGCACCGAGUGAACUUGAAAUGAGUGUGUAUCCCUUCCCAUGGUAGGAAGGUAGGUCACCAUAAAUCUCAUGAGGUGGAUAACCAAAAUGCCUCAAUGGGCAUAAAUAGAGUUUCCAUAAGUGAAUAACUAAAUUGCCUAAUCUUGGCAUAAAGAGGGGUUUCACAUGUACAUCCAAGUUCCAUAACUAUGUUGCCACCAUAGGAUACUAGCUAGUGGAUUCCACCUAGAAAGAUAUGUCUCAUUUGGUUCUACUUUGGUCGGUAGACCACCCUUUAUCGGUGUGGGGUUUUAUGACACUGGAUUCCAUGUUUAGCAUCACAUGGUCUAUGUCGGUUAAGGCUAUAGUUUCCCUAAAGUAAAAUGGACAAUGGAAGUUAAUGACUAGGACCCUAAAUAGAAUGACUAAGGGAGGUUACUUAGUAUAGGUGGAAGUAAUGAACCCAUCUAGACAUUGCACAUGUAUCCCCUUAGAAAGUUCUGAGAAGGUGUACUAAUGCAUGUUACUAUGUAUAUGUUGCCUAUACAUGACAUUGUAGUAUUUGUCUACCUGUUAUAAUGAUGUGCAUGAUAUGAGUCUUUAUACAUGAUCUUGAUCUUGUUGACUAUAUGAUGAAGCUCUUGACUUAACUAUGUCUACGUGGUAUUAUACUUUGGUGAUGGUAUGUGUUGUAUUGUGUAUAUGAUAUGUAUGAUUGUCCUUGUGUUCCUAAGGAUAUACAUUGCACUAAGUAUCCCUAAAGGACUACUUGGGAGAUUAAUGAAUUAAAAGGAAGGGUUCACUGUAAAGAGGAAUGAGCUUACUGUAAAGUGACCUCAAAUUGGACUUAAAUUCUAUAUGUGCUUUUCUAUGAUGUUUGGCCUUUGAUUGUGUUUCUAUGAAGUAUGAAAAUGAUAUAUAUGCUAUUGAUAAAGGUUUUAUGAUUAUUUACUCAAAAUGGCAUGAAGUAUGAUUUCAAAGAAAAUGUCCCUUUUAAAUGCACGUUUUUGCAUGGUUGCCAUACUUAGUACAUUCUUGUGCUAAUCCCAUUCUUCUCUACUUUUUACACAAAGUGUAGGUGAUGGAUGCUUGAAGGAUGUCUUGAAGGGUGAAGAGAUUGAUAGGUGAUUUCCCAAGCUCAAGGAUAGGAAUCCUUAAGUCCAAGGAUGUCCUCAUGUGUACUUAUUGUAAAGUCUAUUAAAUAUUAUAUAGUUUGUAUAUGUCUUAAGGGUCGUGUCCCUAAUGUACUUCCAAUGUUAUUAAGUUUAAGAUGGAAAAGAGACUUAGAGUCUAUAUAUGUAUUAUGACUUAUAUUUUAUAUGUAUAUGAAGUAAAGUUUCUAGCAUAUGAGGUGCUAUGAAAAGUUUUAAAUUUUUCGCUAAAUUUACUAUGUCGAUGUGAUAAAUGAUAACUAUGGGCUUGUAUAAGGCCUCCGAGAGGUCAAGUACGUCUUGUUACUUCUAGGGGGUGCUCCCCGGAUGUGACAUAUAGGGUCCUUUAGAUCAAUACCACAAUUACACCAUAGUCAUAGAAUUUCACUCUUAAGGUGAAUUAUAAGCUUGUGCACCAUUCUUAUAUACAUGUAAAAUCCAUAUAAAAUACCCUUCAAGGAUCGUGGAUCAUGGUACGUCAAUAUCUCUACAAUUACUUCAUUGAUCAUGUAUAAUAACCUAAUUCAAGUAAUCAAUUUAUCACAUUCAUAAUUACAUCACAUUGUACUAACAUUGAUUCACACCCACAAUUUGAGAUCCAAUUCUGGGGAAAUAGGUAAAUUAUGGAUUCUUGGAUAAUUCAUCUUGAAACCAGUGGUAAUUCAUCAAUUUUAUCAUAAUACAGAACAAUUAUAAUAUAGGAAUCAUUUUACAAGAGAACGUGACUUAGAUUGAAAACCGUAGCUUUUGUGGAUUUCUAGAUUUGAGACAGAAGAUUUUGAAGGGGCUCCAAGGGUGAUGGCUACCCAUGGAUUAAAACUACCACACCUUUAUUAUUAAUAUUCAAAAAAUUUGAUAAAUAAAAACCUUGAUUUCUUCAAGACCAAGCUUCAAUUUUGCUCUUCUUCUUCUUGGAUUUCUAGGGAAUGAAAUAUUGUGAGGAAGAUGAACUUUUUUUUUUAUUUGGGUGUUUGUGAAAUGAUUCAGUUUGGAUAGAAUUUAACUUAAAAUAUUUUAUAUAGUUGUUUAAAAAUUCUAUAAAAUAUACCCAUUUUUAUUGGACUAAAAUAGGAAAUUAUGAAAUCGCCCCUCACCCAAGUGGACUGUCCCACACCUAAGGCAAAGUCUCGGGGUCUUCACGGGCAGUGGACUGCUCCACGUGUCGUGGUCCCUCAUGUGGACUUGUGCCUUUGUCUUGUGGAUAUGAGGCAUGGUCCACGAGGGCUCUUCACAACAAUGGAGUCCCCCAUGCCAUGUGAACCCUCAUUUGUACUUGCCUUCUCACCUAGAUGGCUAAGGAAAUUCUCAAGAGGGAUCUUCACGGGCAGUGAACUCCUCCACACCUCGUGAACCCCUCACAUGAACUGCCUCCUCACCCAAAUGGCUAAGGCAUUUGUCCACCAGGGCCUUCAAGGGGUAGUGAAGUCUUUCACACCCUGUAAAGCUUGAUAUGGACCAUUCCCUUUGCCUACACAGCCAAGUCAUGGUUCCACGAGGGCUUCCAUCGGCAAUGGAGCCUUCCGCCUGCUAUUGUCCCUUCCAUGGAUAGUGUACUUAGAAACCAUUUUUGGGGCAAAUGUUAGGGUUCCCCUCAAUGACCCUUAGUUUCUUUUUGGGGGGGUUGUACCUUCACGUUUAACCCAAAAUACAGCAGUUGAAAAUGGUUAUUUACAACUUUAACCUUAAUGUUAGACCCCAAGUUAGGCUACUAUUUCAUACAUUAAAUUCUAAAAUUAUUACAUUAGGCUCUAGUUUAACCUACUAAUUUUCUAGAUCUUAUAGUAUCUCCCCUUUGGGAACAUUCGCCCUCGAAUGACGAUCUAGACACCCUAUUGAAUCAAAACACAAUAUUAGCAUCCCGUCAUGCAUGAGACAUCAAAAGAAUGCACAACUUUAAGGAGGAAACAUCAACUCCAUCUCAACACAAUUAAUGCAACACAAGGAAGUAGCAAAUACAUCUAUCAACAUGUUAUACAUGAAAACUCGUUAUUUCACAUAAUAGUAGAAGGAACUACCUUCUCCAACAAAAGAAAACAAACAUGACUUUUUUUAAGAACAUGCAUAAUCAAAAGGAAAUCAAGUAAAAAAAACACAUAAAACAUGACUCCCAAAGCUUAGCAACUCAAGAGGAACUACUUACCUCAAACUUGAAUAGGAGUAGAAGGAAAAAUAUGAGGUUUACAGGAUUUCAUAUCGACCUUGGCCUCCCAAGUAGCCCCCUCAACUAAAUGAUUUCUCCAUAAAACCUUCACGCAAGAUACUUUCUUGUUUCUCAAUAUCUUAACUUGUCAGUCAGGGAUCUCUACCAGAACCUUUUCAUGGGAAAGGAUUUCAUCAACUCCCAACCCUUCUAGAGCAAUAAUGGAUAUUGGGUCACAAUUACACUUUUAAAGCAUAAAAACAUGAAAUACUAGGUGAAGGAAUCAAACUCAUUCGGCAUAGGUGAGAUUUUCAAGUAGACCCAUUCAUUUACUUUAAAUUCUAUAUCCCUUCUUCUGACUUUGUCAUAAGAAUUUUGCCAACUUUUGGUCGUAUUUAACCUCUCCCCAAUGAGUCAAACCUUCUUAAUAGCCUCAUAAACCAAUUUGACACCAAUUAGAGAAAUUUCACCUACCUCAAACCAACCCACCAGACUAUAUCGCCCGCCAUUCAAGGCUUCAAAGAAAGUCAUGAUGAUACUUGAGUGGUAGUUAUUCUUGUAGGAAAACUCAAUCAACGGUAGAUGGUCAUCACAAUUACCCUUGAAGUAUAUCACACAUUCUCUCAACAUAUCAUCCAAGGUUUGUAUGGUAUUUCCCACCUUCCCAUAGGUUCGGGAAUGAGAAGUCGUGUUAAGCUUAAACUUAGUACCAAGCCCCUUUUGGAAUGCCUUUCAAAAGUGUGAAGCAAAUUGAGUACUCCAACAAAAAUGAUAGAUAAGGGAACUAUGCAACUUCACUACCUCCUUUACAUGGCAUAGUCUUCCAUCGAAAAAAGAACCUUGACAGAAAUGCAAUGAGAUGAUUUUGUCAUGUAGUCUAUGAUUACCUAAAUAGAAUCAUGUUGUCUUCGUACAAGGAAAUCCCACAAUAAAAUCCAUAGUCACCACCUCCCACUUCCAAGUGGGAAUAUUUAUAUCUUGGGACAAGCCUCCCGGUCUACGGUGUUCGGCCUUAACUUGAUCACAAUUCGAACAUUUGGCUACAAAAUUUGCAAUAUCUCUUUUCAUGUCAUUCCACUAGUAGACUUCCCAUGUAUUACGAUACAUCUUGGUGGAUCCCGGAUGAACAGAAUAUUUAGAACCAUGAGCCUCUUCUAGAAUUAGCUCUGUCAAGGCAUGAACAUAUGGAACACAUAAUUGACCUUGGUACCUAAGCAUCCCAUAUCCCCCUUACGAUAAAGCAUCAACGGACUUUAAGAGUACCGACUCUUUCAAUUCAACUAGUAUAGGAUCAAGGUCUUUCUUUUCCUUAACAUCCAUUAUAAAGGAGGAUUUGUAACCAUGACUAUGACACCACUCAUUGUGGAAUCAACUAGAUGAACACAUAGUCGGGCAAAUGCAUAUCACCAACCAAUUCCUUCUUUUCAUCUUCUAUAUGAGUCAAACUACCCAUAGACAAUCUACUUAGAUCAUCCUCUACUAUAUUAGCUUUGCCAACCCGGAUAAUAAAGGACACUCAUGUCAUAGGAGCAUACUCUACUACAUUAGCUUUGCCCGAAUAAUAAAGGACACUCAUGUCAUAUUCCUUCAACAAGUCUAACUAUCUUUUUUGCCAAAGGUUCAAGUCUUUUUCUCUAAACACAUAUGGAGACUCUGAUGAACGGUGAAAACAUCAACAUGCACCACGUAUAGAUAGUGCCUCGACAUUUUCAAGGCAACACAACUCCUGCUAAUUCACGAUCAUGGGUCGGAUAGUUAUUUUCAUGAUCUUUGAGUUGCCUCACAGCAUAGUUAAUCAUUUUACCAUUUUGCAUGGACAUACAUCUUAACCCAACUCUAGAGGAAUCACAAUACACCAUAAAAUCAUAUGUAUCCUCCGGUAAGGUCAACACCAGAGCGGAAGUAAGUCUAUCCUUUAAUUCUUAAAAGAUUUUCUCACACUUUUCAGACCAUAUAAAUUUUGCUUUGUUUUGAGUCAAACCCAUCAAAAGAGAAGAAAUGGAGGAAAAUUCCUUGACAAAUCUUCUAUAAUAACCGGUCAAACCAAAAAAGCUUCUAAUGUUGAUUGGAGUAAAAGGUCUAGGCCAAUUCUUGAUCACAUCCGUCUUCUUAGGAUAUACUUUAAUACCUUUACUUGGCACAAUGUGACCAAGGAAUGCUACGAACCUUAGCCAAAACUCACAUUUGCAAAAUUUUGCAAAAAAUAUUAUGUUCCUUAAGGACUCGAAAUUCCACCCUCAAAUGGUUGACAUGUUUUUUCUCACUCCUAGAGUAUAUGAAGAUAUUAUCAAUUAACACAAUGGAAAACCUGUUAAGAUAGUGUCCGAACACCCUAUUCAUAAGAUCCAUGAAUGCCACCGAAGCGUUUCCCAACCCACAAGAUAUAACUAAGAACUCAUAGUGAUCAUAUCUCAUUCAAAAAGUCAUAUUUGAGAUGUCAACUUCCCUAACCCUUUAUUGGUGAUAACUUGAACAAAAAUCUAUCUUUGAAAAAUAACUAGGCCCUUGAAGUUGGUCAAAUAAGUCAUUAAUUCUCAAAAAUUGGACGCUUGUUCUUAAUGGUCGUGUAUUCAAUUAACGAUAUUCAAUACAUAUUCUAAGAGACUCAUCCUUCUUAACGAAAAAUAGUGAGCACCCAAAGAGGAGAUGCUUGGUCGAAUAAAGCAUUUGUCUAGCAAGUCCUUAAGUUUCUCUUUCAACUCCAUCAACUCCGUCGGAGCCAUUAUAUAAAGUUGAAUGGAUAUAGGUUGUGUAUCCGGAAUAUGGUCAAUACAAAAAUCUAUUUCCCUUUCGGGAGGAAUACCAAGUAAAUCGUGAGGAAACACUUCCAGUAACUUAUUUACUACCUGAACUGACUCUAGAUGAGGGGUUUUAGAAUCAACAUCAUUCCCCCUAACAAAAUGAUAGCCAUACCCUCUAGAUAUCAUCUUUAUAGCUUUAAGACAAGAAACAAAUUAAUCUAUAUGCAUUGAAUUUCCACUCUUCCACUCUAAAAUAGGUUCCUUCGCAUAUUAGAGUUAACCACCCAAAUUCGACAAUCAAUAGAAGCAUAACAUGCAUUCAACCAAUACAUACCAAGAAUCACAUCAAUAUCUAGCAUGUCAAGUUUUACCGAGUCAAUAAUAGUGACUCUAAGAUACAAGGAAACGGGACAUUUUAUAUAAACCCUAUUUUCCAUCAUCGAAUCACCAAUCGGAUAGAAACCAAAAAAAGUACUAUAAUUCUUCCGAGGAAACAUUAAACCUCAUAGACACAUAAGGUGUCACAAAUACAAAGUAGUUUCGGGGUCCAAUAAAACAUAAGAAUCAAUAAGGAAAACUUUCAAAAUACUGGUUAGCACAUCUGGUGGUCUCUCUUGGUCAUCUGGGGAUCAAUGAGAACACAAAUGGUUUUACUUUUGAGUAGUGGGGAUUGAAUUACUUAGAGGAGAUUGUUUGUAUUCUCUCCCCUUGGUUGUAUGUGUUGGGAAAUACUUUAAUUGAUGACCACUUGUACCACAACCAUAUAAAAUGCCCAUGCCGACUAGGAACUUGUCAUCAUGCCUUUUCCAUAUUUGGCCCAAGUAGGUUUUGUCGUAAUUGUUUUCUUUAUAAUGACCUCGUUGAGGAUUUGGGUUAGACACCCUAUUUUGUUGCCCUUUGAAGAACUAUAGUGGUCUUGGUUAAAUAAUAUUUUCUUCAACCUUGGUCUUACUUGACCCUCGAAUUUACCCUUGAAAAAAUUCCCAUCACCGGCUCUCGCCUUUUUAUGCCUCUCUAUUCUUCUUCCUAAAUCUUAACUCCUCAAUUUGUUUUGCAUAAACUUUGUGACUUAAGAUAUUCAUAUUAUCAUGGAACAGAGCCGAAUGACUAUUACUCAAUCAAGUCAAACACCCUCAUCAAUAGCCUAUUGAUCUCAUCCCUCUGAUUCGGCAUAAAAUAUGGAGCAUAUUUGGGCAAUUGAAUAAAUUUUAGGGAGUUGUCCUUCAUAUUGAUAUUCCCUUGACGAAGAUUGAUAAAUUCUUCAACUUUAGCUUCCAUCAACUCUCAGGGACAGUAUAUAGCAAGAAACAUUGAUUUGAAAACUUCGCAUUCUAAGGGACCUGCUCCUACCGACCUAUUGUAUUUCCAUUGUUUAGACCAUAUUUGAGCCACACCUUUCAGUUGAUAAGCGGGUAAUUUUUACUUUUUAACUGAGGUCCCUUCAAUGAUGUCUAGUAUUGUGUACAACUCUUCCACAAACUCUUAAUUAUACUCUCCCCCUUUUGUCACAAAAAUUUUGGGGGGUUCAUCCUAGCAAAGUCUCUUAUCCUUAAAGUGGUCGUAUUCACGUUAGGGUUCACAUGACGCUAGCAUCCCUAUAGUCUUGAUACGACAUAGCUUGUGCUUGAGUUGACACAGCUUAAGUCAAUAUUUGGAGAUCCGACAUUAUUUCCACAUUUGACAGAGUCCCCUCAUCAAUAAGAUCUUGAGUAACUUUAGGAUGUUGGGGAACUUUGAAAAACACUCCCUCAUAAACAUUCUCCUCUUCCCUUCUUCUUAUGUUCUUGUAUUCAUUUACUGGAGAUAAAGUGAAGGGUUAUGAAAUGACUUUAUAGAGUUAAAACUCUAAGUCACAACUAAAGAGUAAUGAAAGAAAUGAGAUUUCCUAAACAUCUUAUAGCCUCUCAUUCAUAAAUGUGGCAUGCUUCACACUCAUAAACAAGACUAUACUAGGUGUGGCUUAUGAAACUUCAUCCUAAUAUCAUUCUAAACCUUGUGCUCUUAUUACCAAGUUUGUCAAAACCCAGCGGUACCCCCUAGAUGUACCACAGAGUACUCGACCGCAAAUGGGUAUCAUGCAAUCCCUUAGCAACAUAACAUAAGAGAAAUUAUAUAGAACUAAAAACUUUUUAUAGUCGAAGUCUUAUAUAAAACCACAUAGAAGUCUAGAAAUCGUCUCACAAGCCAUCUAUUACAAUAAAAUAAAAAGUAGGGUCACAACCCUUACAAUAGUUUCUAAUGGGAAAUGAAAGAAAUAAAAUAAGAAUAACUCUUGUACUCAAACAAUGAGGACUCACCAAAGCAAGGAGAGAAUCAAUCCAAGCUUUCAAACGAAGGAGAAGAAAACCUCAACAACCGGUACUACACUCAUAGAAAAAUGUAGAAAAUACGGGUUAGUACAGAAAUGCACUAAGUAUGGUAGAUAUGCAUAAAAUCAUUGAAAACAUGCUAAAAAGGACAUUUUAUUUAAAACCAUGCUUUUAUCAAGCUUAAGAGUCGCCAUUCACAUUAGUGUAAAAAUAUAAGUUAUACGAUCUCAUAAGUAACCCUAAGCUAUACUUGCGUUGUCCGCCCCGAGCCUAGACCCUUGACAUGGACGGCACUCAAUGACCAUUACUAGCCUUUAACGUACCGUAGGCUUGGCUUACUUAACUCAGGAAAAGUCAACAAUCAAUGCAUUAAUGAUCAAAGAACUGAACUAAACCAAAUAAUAAGAUAACUAGAAUAUUUUAAAGAUUUAAACAUCCAACUUGGACAAAUGGCAACCCAAUUCUUUAACAUAAGAAUGAUAAGUUAAACAUUAGUAAACUACUAACUGUCUAUCUAUGAAGACUUCUAAAAUUGACAUGGAUGUUGGGACAGACCCCACAAUAUCCUAUAAAAGGAAAGAUUGAAAGCAAUAAAUGUGUCCUCCGGUAUGCAAGGAGGCUCACCAAUGACUCUGAGUUCUCAGUUGUAUCAAGAAGGCGUUGGAUGAUAUUGAUCCUGAUUACCUGCGUCUGCAUCAUGAUAUGAUGCAGUCCAAUUAGCAUCACUACAUUGAAUGUAAGAGUAUGCGAGUUGAAAUUCUAACAACAUAGGCUAUAAAAGAAGUCUUGAGAAACACUUACCUUUGUCAUGCUCAACUUAUGAAUAACUAACUCAUUUCAAUAUAAAGCAAUUUAAAAACAAGUGUAAUAUAAAUAAAAUUAUUUGAAAACAAUUUGUAAACUCUGAAUGUAUACAAGGAUACAAGUAACUUUGAUAUGUAUGUAAAAUACAAUUAAACUGAUACAUAGAUAAAAUACAAUACUUCUUUGGGAAUUCUCUAACUGACACCAUCACAGUGAUGAUACAGCGAUCUACCUCACGCUACCAGCGCAAACUAUACCCAGCCAAAGGCAUAAAACCUGAAUUGCGUAAUGGAUGCACUAGUCUACUGUGAAAAGAUUCAUCUAAAAAGUAUGACCCUAAUCUACACAUGGUGGCUACAUGAUUUAUGGGGGUUGUGAGUUGUCUAAACUCUCCCCCAUAUCAAUGCUCAAUACUACUCCUUAAAUAUACUAGCUCUUAUUUUUUUAAAAAUAUAUUGAUUUUGUGGCUUGAGAUUAGUGCUCAAAACAAAAGCUCAAAGGCUAUCUUGGAAAUAUCAAUUUCCUUGCUUGCUUUAUUUAGAAAGUGAUUUCUCUUUAACUGAAAACAAGAUCAAAGGCUCUUUGGAAAUAUCAAUUUCUCUUCUUUCAAAUGUGAAAACAUUUUUAUGUUCUUUUUGGAAUACUUUGUUUCCAUAUACUUCUUUGAAGGAAUACUUCACUUUAAUCUGAACUGAACUCGAGCUUAAGUCUUAAAAUGACACAUAAAACAUUUUUGAAAGACUUACGAAACGUGAAACGAACUUCUCUUUCUUUUUUUUAGUCCUUUAAAUCUUAAAACAAGUUUAGAGUAUUUGCAAAAGACUCAUGAAUGAACUUUAAGAGAUCUUUAAACUUUACUCUAACUUUUCCUUGUAUUUGGAUUUAUGGAUUCAAGGUUGUAAAUUUGUAUUUCUAGAUGAUUUCUAUAUGAUUAGAAGUCAUUUAGAGUAGUUAGAAUUAUUAUUAAGUGUUAAAACACCUUAGAAGGGCUUAAUCAGACUGAACUAGGUAAACUUGGCGAAAAAUGUCGAUUUGGGCACGUUAAGGGUGCGCCGCGCCAGACCAUUUCGUCUGAGGCACCACUUUGGCGCACGGCAGGUGUGCUGCCCUUGGUCUCUAGCACAAAUGGGGCGCGCCGCGCCUAGUGCUACCCAGAUGCGUCUAAACAAUUUUCUUCUCUCAUUUUCUUAUCCUAAAUCGCCUAAACCUCCAUAGUUCUUUUCCAGAACCCUUAGGAUUAUUAGUACCUUAAAUAACCCAUAGAUGUAACUUGAAAAACAGUUCUAAAUUACGAAUCAAAGCAACAAUAGGCAUUCAACAACUCAAUCAACAAGAAUUCAACCAUGUCUUUCAAGAACAUCAUUAUUCUUAUUCAACCAAUUCAAAAAUCAAAGGAUUUAAGAAAGAUUGUUGUGUGGGUGAACUGCCCCAACAGUGAAAGAUCUCACAUACCUUAAUAGGGAUCACUCCCGACAAAUUCCACUCGCUCUUUUGGUGUUCUUGGCAAAUCCUUAACUUUUUCUCUCUUCUCUUUUUCUUUUCUCUCUUCUCCAAUCCCUAAGCGUGAUUUUGAUUUUCUAAUCUGAACUAAAAUUAUUUUUAACCCAAAUAAAUUCCUAAGACUAAAUGGGAAAUUAAUUGAUGAAAAUAUUAGUUUGCCCUUCCUUAAAUCUGGAUUGGAACUUUCUUUACUUCAACAGCGCAACUUCCUAUAAGAAUAUCUCUCUCAUACAUUAUCAAAAAUACAAACUCAGCGGCGUCAUACUAUGAUGAUGAAUCUUCAAAUAAUUUGAGGAAAAUCCAUUGACUUAUCCAAGCCCAAGCUUCACUCUUGCUCUUCUUCUUUUUGGGUUUCUAGAGAGAGAAAUAUUGAGAGGAAGAUGAAAUUUUGAUUUUGAUUUGGGUGUUGUGAACACGAUUUAGUUUGGGUGUAAUUUAACUUAAAAUAUAUUACAUUGUUAUGUAGGAAUAUUAUAAAAUAUACCAAUUUAAUUGGACUAAUAAUUGGAAAUUGUGAAAUUACCGCUUACCCAAGUGGAUUGCCCCACGCCUAAGACAAAGUCCACGAGGGUCUUCAUGGGAAGUGGAAUUCUCCACAUGUCGGGGUCCCUCGCGUGGAAUUGUUCCAUUGGAUUUUGUAGACAUUUCACAAGGUAUCUUCCCAGACAGUGGAGUCUUCCACGCCACGUGAACCCUCAUAUGGACUUGCCUUGUCGCCUAGAUGGCUAAGGAAAUGUUCGUGAGAGAUCUUCACGGGUAGUUUACUCCUCCACGCCUCGGGAAUCCCUCACAUGGACUGCCUCAUUAUCAAAAUGUCUAAGGUAAUUUUCAUGAGUGUUCUUCACGGACAGUGGACUCCUCGCCUCGUGAAUCCCUCAUGUGAACUGCCUCCUCUCCCAAAUGGCUAAGGGAUUGGUCCACGAGUGCCUUCCAUGGGCAGUAAAGGCCUUCACGCCUUAUGAAGCCUCAUGUGGACCAUGGCCUUUGCCUGCAUGGCUAAGGCAAGGUUCCACAAUGGCUUCCACGGAAAUUGGAGCCUUCCACCUAUCGUGGUCCCUUGUGUGGACAAUGUACGUAGACAUUGUUUUGGGGACAAAUGUUAGGGUCCCCAUCAAGGACGCUUAGUUGGUCCUUGGGGGAUCGUACCUUGACGUUUAACACCAAACAACCCUAUUGAGUACCGAAGGUUAUUUACGACUUUAACCUUAAAGUUGGACUCCAAGAUAGGCUACUAGUUCAUACAUUAAAUUCUAAAAUUGUUACGUAAGCCUCUAGUUUCACCUAUUAAUUUUACGGGUGUUACACUCAUGAUCCUUGUGCAGCAAGUGUUAACAUCCCUUUGAGAGGGCACAACGUCGCAUUGACUCAAUUUUAAAAGAGGUAAAAUGAAUUUUUAAGAAAGGGUAAAAGGGAUUUAAAGGGAGUUGCUACCUAAUAUUAGAAAAACUAGAUAACUAAUUAGUUAGCUUAAAGAAAAUGUAUACAAAACCAAAAGAUUUUAGGUUAGGCAUCUUUCGAAAUCCACAAAUACGGGUCCCGACUGGGUUCAUUUUUUCAAAUUGAGGAGAUAGCAAUAGUAUACAAGUAUAAUAAAGAUAUGAUAUAUACUAGUAAUAAAAUAGAACAAGAAUAUAAAAAACGAUCUAAGGUUUGUCAAACAUCAAUAUAUACAGGACAAUAAAUAAAGAAUGUAAUUCGAAUUUCCUUAGAAUAACUUCAAUGAGAAGCAACUUCGUAUAUAUGUAAAUACACUUAAUAAAAGUGUUAGUAAUAAACAAAUAUGAACAAAAACAAAUAAAUUAAAUAAUUACUUAUAAAUUAAAAUUUGUCUUAUUAACAUGGAAGGCCUUGGAAAUCAAUCAUUUUUUUUCAUCGGCCAAAUCUAACUAAGAAACAAUAAUAACAGCCAAAUCCUACAAUAUAAUAACUUAAAUAUAAAACAUAAUCAUAUAAAAAAUAAUCAAAUAUAAAACAAUAUAACAUUAAUUGAAGAAAAUAUCAAUACAAAAUAUAUGAACAGUAUCCAUAUAUUGACCAAAACUAUACAAAAACAAAGAACAACCAAAAUAAUAACAACAUUUAAUGUGACAAGUGGCGGAAUACUUAAAGUAGUAGACAACACAAAAAUCUAACCAAACAAAACCAAACUAAAAAAACUAUAAUUAAAAAAAUAACAAAAUUAAAAACAAAGCAACUAAGAUAAAUGGAACAAACAAAAAUCGACCAUUAUAACUAAAAUAAAUAAAUAAACCAAAUGAACAAAAGACUCAUAUCUCUGGAAAUAUCAAAGUAAAGUUAAAUAAAAAACAAAUUGCAAAGCUUAUUGGAGACAAAGAUAACACCUGAGUUUGUGACUAAGUAACAAUUUGUUAGCACUGGUGAUUUUAUCCAAUGGUAAGAGAGCUUCGUUGGUGCAAAAUCUGGAUAAAUUGUUGUGGUUUACCGACAAUAGAGCCACGCCGGAGCUGGAGUGGGAGCUCGUUAGAACAUCAAGAAAUACCUGCAAAACAGGAGAACAGAGGUAAAGGGGAGAAGGGAUGAGGACUUGUUUGUUCCAAUGUACAAAAUCCGAGAGUGAAAAUUGUUUUUGAUUUUGGUAUUGCUCAGUUACUGGUGGAGUUUUGGGUCUAGUUUUGCUGGAAAUGGCGUCAGGCGUAGAUUGGUUUCAUUUGUUGGAAAAUAUGGGGAAUGUGGAUCUGAUGUUUAGUCAAAAAAUGGGUAUUGAACUAGUGGAGAUCUAGUGGUGUAUGCAGACCUAUUAGGGGUUGAUGGAGGUUGGUGGUAGAGAGAGCUUUUCGACCAAAUCUUGCCAAAAAUGGCAAAACUCAAGAUAGGAGAAAGAAACAGAGGUGGGUUUGGUUCACUGGAGGCAGUGAAGAGGGGUAUGGAGGUGAUGUGGUGAGCUCGUUCGGAGCUUGUUUUGUCAAAAAAUUAGGGGUGGGCAUUCGGUAGUUCGAUUGGUUCGGUUUUUUUGAUUUUGGUUAAUGAAUUUGUUAUACCGAACCGAAUUAGUUUGGUUCGGUUUUUUGUAAUAUGGUUUGGUUCGGUU